Molecule: long non-coding RNA, 1630 nt
Organism: Lutra lutra (Eurasian river otter)
Lineage: Eukaryota; Metazoa; Chordata; Mammalia; Carnivora; Mustelidae
Exons: 4
Source: RefSeq, a predicted model, not a curated record
GGUCGCGGUCUCGGGCCCGCCCCGGCCCGGGGAGGAGCGGGGGCCACGCCGUCCCGCCCCUUCUGCGUCUCCGCCUUCAGUUCCGAGCUCUGUGGCCCUGGUACUCCUUUGGAUCCUGUUGCUGGUGUCGUCUGUGCCUCUCCUUUAUUGUCCCCAGCUGGCUGAAUCAGAGGCUUAAUUCAUCUUGUUUCUGAUUAAGUUUGAUCCUGUGAGAGAUGACUACUGGCAGAAAAAUGAAGAAUGAAAGUAGAAAUGAGCACAUAACCACAAGGCUAUAUCACUACCUCUCAAAAAGAAGAUUCACUGGGCAUAGUUCUUACAGGAUGGAUUACAAGAAGACUGAGAGUGGAAGCAGAGAGAUUAAUGAGUUUUUAAAAACCUGAGCUUGGAGCCUAGUUAAAAGAAGAAGGAACUAGAAAAAGGUUAAGGAAAAAACCCUCAACAAAAUAGAUGGAACUACAACUAAGGAGUGGAAAAAUCUCAAGAAAAAAACUUGUGUUCAAAUCAGCAAAUCACCAUGCCUGCAAAGAAAGGGUACAUGGUCUUGACAUUAUGGGCCAAUUAGUUAAAAGUACACUUAAGACCCAAGAUAACUUAUCUUAUGAAAAAUUUCUGAAUUUUAGAGAUGAAAAUUUCUGAAUUUUUAGGGCAAAUAAGUGAUUUAUUUAAAUGUGUUCCAUUACAAGGUGACAGUAAAGGAGAAUAAAUCACCUAGAAUAGUUAACUUAUGCCUGGCAUGCAGUGUUAAAUAGCAUACCAUGACCUAAGUCUUAAUUCUGUCUUAUGUCAUAUUCUUAAUAAAAAACUAGUAGAUAGCAUAGUCCAGCCUAAAGCUUAAACAAAACUGACUACACCACUCCCCUGAAAGAAUGGCAUCCAUAAACAGUGAAUCCUGGAACACUGAAAAAAUAAAAUUAAAUUAAAAAACAAAGCAAAACACAGAUACUGCAAAAUAAACAAACAAAAACGACAACAAAAAAACCACGAAAGAAUGGCAUCCCUAGCUCCUGAGUACCAACUUUGAGAAUUCUCUUGAGGACUCAUGAAGGGGCAGGGUAAGGGUCUAUGUUCAAUACCAUUAAUGAACGGAUAAAUAAGGAUAUGUUUUUUAAGUUUCCAAAUUUUAUUAGAUUCAUGAUUACUUACAUACUAAGAAAAGAAUUCAAAAGCUGCAGGACUACAAUGGUCAUUAAAAAGUAAAAGGAAAUCCUAAUGACAUGGAAACUGAAUGAGUUGGUGUGUCUGUUUACAAAUUUAAUAGUAUCAAAAAGAAUUUAACAGUUUAUUGAAAACAUUUUACUUCACUACUGUCUACUGGAGACAUUGUUUAGUUUGAGAUUCUACAUUUAUAAAAAAUAAUAGACUAAGCAGACAACAAAGAAAAUCACUAGAAUCCAACCAACCAACUAACAGAAAUUCCAAUUUACUGAGUAAGAAAAAAGAUUUCAUCAGAAGAGAAAGUAAAAAUGGAAACUGCCCUUUCAAAUAAAAAUGGCUAAUAUAAGGCAAAAGCUGUAUGUUUUUUUUCUUAUUCAUCCUCUCAGCAAUUAUUAAGCACGUACUAUAUGCCAUGAGGAUACAAAAAAGAGAAACUGAGUUUAAAUGGUCAUAAAAAGAAAAAUUACAGAAA